This 90-nucleotide microRNA precursor is filed under the name Agrilus planipennis (emerald ash borer). Its description in RNAcentral is "mir-2944 microRNA precursor family". It matches the Rfam family "mir-2944 microRNA precursor family". Lineage: Eukaryota; Metazoa; Arthropoda; Insecta; Coleoptera; Buprestidae. The record is from Rfam by way of RNAcentral.
GAGGGAUUCUGAAUUGAAGGAACUUCUGGUGUGAUAUGUUAUUUUUUUGUCAUAUCACAGCCAGUAGUUACCUACGAAAUGGAAUCCCAA